Molecule: ribosomal RNA, 513 nt
Filed under: uncultured bacterium
Lineage: Bacteria
Description: partial 16S ribosomal RNA
Rfam family: Bacterial small subunit ribosomal RNA
Source: RNAcentral
AACGAACGCUGGCGGCGUGCCUAACACAUGCAAGUCGAGCGCGAAAAGGGCAACCUGAGUAGAGCGGCGCACGGGUGCGUAACACGUGGGUAAUCUGCCUUAGAGUCGAGGAUAACCUUCCGAAAGGUUGGCUAAUACUCGGUAAGCUUACGGUGUCUUCGGACGCUGUGGGAAAAGUAGGCCUCUGUUUACAAGCUUACGCUCUGAGAUGAGCCCGCGGCCCAUCAGCUAGUUGGCGGUGUAACGGACCACCAAGGCAACGACGGGUAGCUGGUCUGAGAGGACGAUCAGCCACACUGGAACUGAGACACGGUCCAGACUCCUACGGGAGGCAGCAGUGGGGAAUUUUCCACAAUGGGCGAAAGCCUGAGGGAGCAGCGCCGCGUGUGUGAUGAAGGUUUUCGGAUCGUAAAGCACUUUCGACCGGGACGAAAAACCUCUGGCUAACAUCCAGGGGCCUGACGGUACCGGGAGAAGAAGCACCGGCUAACUCUGUGCCAGCCGCCGCCGUAA